This 682-nucleotide long non-coding RNA is filed under the name Vulpes vulpes (red fox). Its description in RNAcentral is "lncRNA (ENSVVUG00000010742.1)". The record is from RNAcentral. Lineage: Eukaryota; Metazoa; Chordata; Mammalia; Carnivora; Canidae.
CCUGGAAGGAAUAUAAGGGCUGCUGUCCAGUGUCUUUUACAUCACGCUUUGAGGUGGCUGUCCAGGAAACUACUGCCUUGAGAAAAUUGCAGCUGUCUGCUUUAAUCAUUUCUAUUACCUGGCUGGCUCUGAAGGCAGAUACAACUGAAACUGCUGGCCUAAGCAUUUAGUGCUUUGAAGAUGAGCUCCAAGGGGAAGAGCCAAACUCGAAGAAACCAGAGCCGUGUGCCUUGGUACGGAAAUAAGUCAUAGAUUAUAUUCUUCCUCGAGUGAAAUACUAUUCCAACUGAAUAUUUAUAUUCUUCCCUCCACUAAAAUGCUAUUGAAAAUGAAUGUGAUUCUUGUGGGAAUUCGAACAUUGCAUAUUGUCCAGUUGACAGAGUCAUUUAUAAAAGUUGGGAUAUCUUAUACCCCAUCCGGGCUUAAUUAGAGUUUAUAAAGAUCACUGGCAGUUGCAAUAGAAAUAUUGUAUGUUUCCUCCCCCCGGUGACUUUCCCUAGUUCUUUUAUGAGGGCCUUUAAAACUCAUUUAAGUCUCGCUGAAGUUAUUCAUAAAGAUAGAUACCAGCCAUUCUCCGGGAGAGUCUGAUCCUCCGCACCUUCCUCUUCCCCCAACAUUUCUUGGAUAACUGCACACAGGUCAGUUCCAAAUUCUGUCGCUUCCCCUAAUAGGCUUUUCAAAG